GAUGGAACAAACAAUAAUCAAGCACAUACUAAUUUAGCAUGGGUUAAGAAACUGAGUAUAGAUGAUAGAAUCCAAGCAGCUUGGGAAACAAAACUGAAGCGUUUUUUUUUCCCCAAGAGGCAAGAUAAACAGCGGCAGGGACACUGAACUGCUGUACCCUUUGGUAUGACUGUGCAAAAUAGCAUUACCUGUUGUCAGAGUUGCUCACGGGUCUAGAGUUCCUCGCCUGCAGCUUUUUAAUGGUAAAUCUGGGAGUCAUUGCCUUAACCAUUGCCUCAUCAUGACUUUGUGCUCGAUUCCAGGAGCAUCACCUAGUUUUCUGGCGACCUCUUUGAAUCUGAGUUGCUCAGCACUUUUCCAAACAGAGCCAUAAGCUGGAUAAAGUUCAGUGGUUUCACUGCAAACAACUCUGCCUUCUGCUGGGUUGGUGGUGGUGUUAAAAUGUAAAAGAUCAAUCUGCUUUCUUUAAAAAGAUUAUUUUCCUCUCUGGAAAACGUAAACAAGCUCCAAUACCUUCUUCUGUUAGGAAAAACAGUUUUUUCAUUCUCUUUCCUUUGUCAGCAUGCACCUGACUGCUGCUGUGGCUGACACCGAGCCUUUGCUCUGUUUACUUUAACGAAUAAGCCACUGCUGUUUGAUUUAGUUUAUCAUUUUUAAUGCAUAAGCCCUCUCUUGAUCUUGCAUUCUGGGGAAAAGAAACCAGAGUUCCUCUAAACAUCAUGCAGGGGGCCUCUGGAGCUGGACUUGCGGAUGUAAAUCUCCCCAGCUAAUAUGCAAAGUGAGAUUAUAGGGAAAACACCACCGCCAACAACAAACGUGAGCACAAAGUUCCCUUGGCAGCGUUAAUGUGACAGGUGUACCUCAGCCCCACCAGUCACUUCUCAUUCCGCUGUCAGUGCUCCUGUUCAGUGCUUCUCACUGCAUUGCACCAGCAUGGCUUCUUAUUCUAAAGGUCAGCCACCCACAUUAGAGUUCAAAAAGACAUUUAAUGCAAGCAAAAAAAAUAAAUCGAAGGUGGCUCUCAUCAGACUUGACUUGGAACAGCUUGGCAAGGACCAAAAAAACAGCAACAGCUGCUCAAGAUGUAAACACAGUCCUCAUUAGCAUGGAAACCACUUAUAGAAGUCGUUUGAAUUGACUGAUGCUCAGUAAGGGGAAGAUGUUUACAUAAAUCCCACACUCCAUUCAAGCUAACAGCACAGCGACAUCUUAAUCUGAAUGACACCAGGCCUGAUCUUUCAGACUACUCAGGUGAAGACUUCCUGCAGAAUUCCCCAGGUCAGGAACUGGUUACUAUCCCUAAGUGCAUCUGUCUGAUGCAAAUAUUUGCGAUUCUUCACUCAGCAGUUCAGCCCUGGGGCAUCUUCACUGGUUUUGUGGUACUGUGCCCACACAGUGAUCCUGGAGAAGUCUCCAGGCACUAAAUACAAUCCCUGAGAUGUUUCUGGCUGUGUUAAGGUAAAAAGAACAGAUUGCUGGGGCAAUUUUCCAGUGCUUUAAAGCUUAUUUGCAGCUACAGAAAACAGCAUUACAAAUUAUCCUUCCAGAGAAGAGAACAGUCUGAAGAAGCCUGAAAGUUUAGGAACGGCUAACUUGAUCACUCUGACCAUGGGGAAUCGGGCUCUGCCUCAGGAGUGACCAUAUCUGAUCUCCUCUGCAAAGCAGGAAAAAACAAACAACGGAUUUCUUAUCCUUUUGUUUUCAUGUCAUUUUUUUUUUUUUUUUUUUUAGUGUAGACCUAUGGAUAAUGCUUUUGCAAUUUUCAUAAUUUUUCAUGUUUUGUAAGGAUGAAGGAAAAAAUAAACGGUUUCCAGUUGGAAGCUUGGCUUUGAGGAGUGCAUUGUUUUUCCUCUCGUGGAGUAUUGAACGACGUGAAGUUUUUGCUAUCAGCUGAACAGCCACUUCAAUCUAAAAGCAACUUUCUGCGUAAAAAAUGUCAUCAGUUCCAUUCUGAAAUGCAAAUCUUUAUAAUCCUCAUGCAAAAAUAGAUAAAUAAAUAAAUAAAUAAAUCUGAGCAUUUCAAGCUAUACUCCCAGGCCUUCUCCAUGUUCAAUAAGGAUAUGCAGGGGCUCAACCAGAAGUGUUUGUUCAAGUGUUUUGCUGUAGAGGAGCCCCUGAGACCUUGAUGUCAGAAGGCAUUGUUGUGGUGAUUUCAGAGCUGGAGGCAGGAAGCAAAUUGCACGUGUGGGCAUCUUGCAAAGGGUAGAAAAUAACACCGUCUAUUUCUGAAAAUAUAAAAGCGGGCUUUUCCUUGGAUUCUAAAUGCACAAAUUAGUGGCCAUCAGCAGAUUCAAGGAAAAGAGAGAGGAAAAUGAUAGAGAAAGCGGAUCACAAGAAUAAAUAGAGGUCUGUCUUCCUCCAGGCUUUGCUGAAAUGCUUUCAAAUGCUUGUCUUCAGAUCAAGAAGAAUUCCUGAACGAUUUUGCAAAACAAAGUAGAGCUGCAAAUGAAAGCAACACUCUGGCAACCAGAAGAGAUGUUUCCAAACAGAAAUACAGUGAAACAAAAGGUUGGGGGAAGGAAGGGAGGAAUGUGUGGCUCUAUGCAAGAAUGGAGAGAGGUUUUUAGAGGGCUGGCAGUAGCUGUGAGGAUGUUAAAGCACUUCACUGCCUAAGUUUGUGUGGUACACCUAUAUUCUCAGUGUUUCACAGCCCUAUCUCUGGCUGGUGUGGUUUGUAAGAGAAUUUGUGUUUUCAUCCUCCUCAUGCUGGUUUACGUAUCAAUAAAAGAGUUUUCCUCCAACCUGAGGUAUCCAUGAACUUAUUUUACUGACCAAAGUUUU
Molecule: long non-coding RNA, 2781 nt
Filed under: Gallus gallus (chicken)
Lineage: Eukaryota; Metazoa; Chordata; Aves; Galliformes; Phasianidae
Description: lncRNA (ENSGALG00010016166.1)
Source: RNAcentral